Molecule: ribosomal RNA, 200 nt
Filed under: uncultured bacterium
Lineage: Bacteria
Description: partial 16S ribosomal RNA
Rfam family: Bacterial small subunit ribosomal RNA
Source: RNAcentral
GAUGAACGCUAGCGGCAGGCUUAACACAUGCAAGUCGAGGGGUAUGGGAAGCUUGCUUUCCAGAGACCGGCGCACGGGUGCGUAACGCGUAUGCAAUCUACCCAUUACUGGAAGAUAGCCCGGAGAAAUUCGGAUUAAUACUCCAUAACACUAUAACAUGGCUUCAUGAAGUAGUUAAAGAUUUAUCGGUAAUGGAAGAG